GACGAACGCUGGCGGCGUGCUUAACACAUGCAAGUCGAACGGAAAGGCCCUGCUUUUGUGGUGUGCUCGAGUGGCGAACGGGUGAGUAACACGUGAGUAACCUGCCCUUGACUUUGGGAUAGCUUCAGGAAACUGGGGCUAAUACCUGAUAGGAGCUCCUGCUUCAUGGUGGGGGUGGGAAAGUUUCGGCGGUUGGGGAUGGACUCGCGGCUUAUCAGGUUGUGGGUGGGGUAGUGGCGUACCACGGCUUUGACGGGUAGCCGGCCUGAGAGGGUGACCGGCCACAUUGGGAUUGAGAUGCGACCCAGACUGCUACGGGCGGAAGCAGUGGGGGAUAGUGCACGCUGGGCGGAAGCCUGAUGCAGCAACGCCGCGUGGGGGAUGACGGCCUUCGGGUAGUAAACCGCUUCCGCCUAUGACGAAGCGUGAGUGACGGUAAUGGGUAAAGAAGCACCGGCUAACUACGUG
Molecule: ribosomal RNA, 468 nt
Filed under: uncultured bacterium
Lineage: Bacteria
Description: partial 16S ribosomal RNA
Rfam family: Bacterial small subunit ribosomal RNA
Source: RNAcentral